GGAUUAGAAUCAAGGAAACUAGAAGUCUCUCAUCUCAUCUCAAGACAGAUAAAGUCUAUAUUUAAGGAUGAUACGAUCCAUGAAAGAGAAGGAAAAGUCAGGGCUUAGUUAAGCAAUGUGGAGAUGAGAGGAGGGAUAAGGAAAGAGAAAGCUCAUGCAGAGAUACUGUUUUGAAGAUAACUCGUGGGGAAGAAAUGGGCAGUCAUCUGGGCAGCCAGCAAAACCUAUUCCAUGAACCCUUGUUAACAGCCAGGUCCUUGCCUGCUGUGCAGUCUGAUGAAAGACUUCAGCCUCUGCUCAAUCACCUCAGCUUUCUACCAAAUCCUUCCCACUUUACAUGCAUCAGUUACAUAAAGCCUUGCGGGAAAAUCACCAUCUUUGUCAUGGAGGCCGAAUGCAGUAUGUCCUAUUUCUGAAGGGCAUUGGUUUAACUUUGGAACAGACAUUGCAGUUCUGGAAGCAAGAAUUUAUCAAAGGAAAGAUGGAUCCAGACAAGUUUGAUAAAGGUUACUCUUAGAACAUCCGUCACAGCUUUGGAAAGGAAGGCAAGAGGACAGACUAUACACCUUUCAGUUGCCUGAAGAUUAUUCUAUCCAAUCCACCAAGCCAAGGGGAUUAUCAUGGGUGCCCAUUCCGUCACAGUGAUCCAGAGCUGCUGAAGCAAAAGUUGCAGUCAUACAAGAUCUCUCCUGGAGGGAUAAGCCAGAUUUUGGAUUUAGUAAAGGGGACACAUUACCAGGUAGCCUGUCAAAAAUACUUUGAGAUGAUACACAAUGUGGGUGAUUGUGGCUUUUCUUUGAAUCAUCCUAAUCAUUUCUUUUGUGAGAGCCAACGUAUUCUAAAUGGUGGUAAAGACAUAAAGAAGGAAUCUAUCCAACCAGAAACUCCUCAACCCAAACCAAGUGUCCAGAAAACCAAGGAUGCAUCAUCUGCUCUGGCCUCUUUAAAUUCCUCUCUGGAAAUGGAUAUGGAAGGACUAGAGGAUUACUUUAGUGAAGAUUCUUAGGCAGUUUUGUAACCCUUUUUCCUCAAUAGCCUGUUUCCUGUUUUUAAGAUUUUGCCUUUGUUGUUGAAAAAGUGUUGCACUCUGUUGUGUAAUUGUGACACAAUUACAGCUGAUUGCAGCCUCAACCUUCCCAGCUCAAGUGAUCCUCCUACCUCAGCCUCCCAAGUAGUUGGGACCACAGGUGUGCACCCCAUAUCCAGCUAUUUUUUUUCAAUUUUUUUUGUAGAGGGGGGGUCUCCCUAUGUUGCCCAGGCAGAUCUCAGACUGCUGGGCUCAAGCGAUCCUCACACCUCAGCCUCCCAGAGUGCUGGGAUUACAGUUGUGAGCCACUGUGCCUGGCCUUUCUUUUUUUAACCUUUUUGUUUAACUUCUCUCUUCACUGCAUCCCAAUCCAUCUACAGGCAUGCACACUUAUUAGGAAAGCAGGUUUGAGGUAACGAGACUUUCACUAUAUUUUGCUUUGACAGAAGGAAAGAGGAAGAGUUUCUAUUAAAAUCUGUCACUUGAGUGAUGUCAUUCAAGUCCUAUUUUAGGAGAUAAAAACACCUUUGGGGACUGGUUAAAGUCCCCCAGAAACUACAAUAAAGAACAACUUUUGUUUUAACUCUUAAUCAUUUUGUAAUUUUGACUCAAUCCUUUUCUGGACCAUUUUUGUUAAUAAAUAUCAAAGUGUACAUGACAGUGUCUGCGUAUAAUUGGGAGAGUCUUAUGUCGUAACAGAUUGGAUAUUACUUCAGUUUUAAAGUGGUAAUUUGGAGUAUCCAACACACUGCUGAUCACUAAUGAAGAUUUUAAACUUUUCUUUAACUUUUUUUAAGAGUUGACCUAUUUGUGGUUAUUCUACAUCAGGCACCAGACUCUCCUGAGUGAACUGUGACUUGGGAAUUAAAAUAAAGUAUAGCCAGUUAUAUUUAUUAAGGAAUAAUAGGGAUAUUUUAUUAUGUAAAAUAAUGGCACGUCUUAUCUGCUGCCAUUACUCUGGGGACAGGUUCAUGAAGAAUAGACAAUUACCAAGCAAGAAGAUUGUACAUAUAAAAUAAAGUGUUUAUUUUACCCUCUAACUUCCAUACCUUAUUACUUCUGUAGUUGCUGUGAAUUACCAAAUAGAUUUGGUAAAUUAAUUAACUUCAGCAAUGAAUAGUGAUACUUAUAGUAACCCCCUCGUUUCAGUGCCAGCAAUGGAAUUUAAUAAAUGUUGUGGAUGAUUACAGACAUACGAGAUCAAUGCCCUGUUCUCUCUGCCUGCGUUUGUCAAGGGAGUAAGGUGAAGUUGAUGAUCCCUGGCACGUAUGCCUUGUGGAGCAAUGCCAUUGUGGAUACCCUCAUCUAAAUAGUGAUUUCCUCCUGGGGCUCUACUCACUCACCAAUAGGAUUUGGGGUGCUCAGGAAACCCUGUUUGAAACAUAGUUCUUCCUCAUCUAUUACCUUGUAAUGUGUGAAAAGUAUUAGUCUAUUUCUGUCUUCUUUUCCUGGUAAAGAGGGAUACUUUUAUCCUUUUGAAUCAGAUACUAACUAAAUUGAAAAGAGCACAUUGUAUUCAGAAAACUAGACUGUUAGCAGGACCGUAUUUUUAAUCGUGAUAAACUGCAUCACGAUGAAAAGGAUUAAACAGGAUCAGAUCAUCAGAAACUAAAAAUGUCAACUAAUUGAGUUUUCAUUUUAGGCUUCUGAGUCAAAGAUUUCUUGGAAUAUUUAGCAACAUAUA
Molecule: long non-coding RNA, 2711 nt
Filed under: Homo sapiens (human)
Lineage: Eukaryota; Metazoa; Chordata; Mammalia; Primates; Hominidae
Description: novel transcript
Source: RNAcentral